CCUACGGGAGGCAGCAGUGAGGAAUAUUGGUCAAUGGACGAGAGUCUGAACCAGCCAAGUAGCGUGAAGGAUGACUGCCCUAUGGGUUGUAAACUUCUUUUAUAUGGGAAUAAAACGUUCCACGUGUGGGAUUUUGUAUGUACCAUAUGAAUAAGGAUCGGCUAACUCCGUGCCAGCAGCCGCGGUAAUACGGAGGAUCCGAGCGUUAUCCGGAUUUAUUGGGUUUAAAGGGAGCGUAGGUGGAUUGUUAAGUCAGUUGUGAAAGUUUGCGGCUCAACCGUAAAAUUGCAGUUGACACUGGCAGUCUUGAGGACAGUAGAGGUGGGCGGAAUGCGUGGUGUAGCGGUGAAAUGCUUAGAUAUCACGAAGAACUCCGAUUGCGAAGGCAGUUCACUGGACUGCAACUGACACUGAGGCUCGAAAGUGUGGGUAUCAAACAGGAUUAGAUACCCUAGUAGUC
RNAcentral lists this ribosomal RNA (460 nucleotides) under uncultured bacterium. Its description in RNAcentral is "partial 16S ribosomal RNA". It matches the Rfam family "Bacterial small subunit ribosomal RNA", at positions 338 to 795 of the family's 1533-position model. The record is from RNAcentral.